UCGCAGCUUGCGCCGGCAGUCCCGACAGAGUCCUCUGCUUGACCAGUUAGCAACUGUCGGUGGGGGUUGCGCUCGUUAUGGCACUUAAGCCGACACCUCACGGCACGAGCUGACGACAACCAUGCAGCACCUCGCCGAAGACCAUUGCUGGCCAUUCCCCUUUCGGGGAAUGUUCCUUCGGCGUUUGAGCCCGGGUAAGGUUCCUCGCGUAUCAUCGAAUUAAACCACAUGUUCCUCCGCUUGUGCGGGCCCCCGUCAAUUCCUUUGAGUUUCACCGUUGCCGGCGUACUCCCCAGGUGGAAUGCUUAACGCUUUCGCUGUGCCACCCAGGGGUCAAUCCCCCCGGACAGCUAGCAUUCAUCGUUUACUGUGCGGACUAC
This 380-nucleotide unclassified non-coding RNA is filed under the name uncultured Muribaculaceae bacterium. Its description in RNAcentral is "contains 16S-23S intergenic spacer region". The record is from RNAcentral. Lineage: Bacteria; Pseudomonadati; Bacteroidota; Bacteroidia; Bacteroidales; Muribaculaceae.